GUAUGCUUUAGGAGGGGCUUGCGCCAUAUUAGUUAGUUGGUAGGGUAAUGGCCUACCAAGACGAUGAUGUGUAGCUGGACUGAGAGGUUGAACAGCCACAUUGGGACUGAGACACGGCCCAAACUCCUACGGGAGGCAGCAGUAGGGAAUUUUCGGCAAUGGAGGAAACUCUGACCGAGCAACGCCGCGUGAAUGACGAAGUACUUCGGUAUGUAAAGUUCUUUUAUCAAGGAAGAAAAGCAAAUGGCGAACCAUUUGUUUGCCGGUACUUGAUGAAUAAGCCCCGGCUAAUUAUGUGCCAGCAGCCGCGGUAAGACAUAAGGGGCAAGUGUUAUCCGGAAUUAUUGGGCGUAAAGGGUGCGUAGGCGGUCUAGUAAGUCAGUGGUGUAAUGGCAACGCUUAACGUUGUCCGGCUAUUGAAACUGCUAAACUUGAGUUAGAUAGAGGCGAGUGGAAUUCCAUGUGUAGCGGUAAAAUGCGUAAAUAUAUGGAGGAACACCAGAGGCGUAGGCGGCUCGCUGGGUCUUAACUGACGCUGAGGCACGAAAGCGUGGGGAGCAAACAGGAUUAGAUACCCUGGUAGUCCACGCCGUAAACGAUGAGUACUAAGUGUCGGGUUAAACCGGUACUGAAGUUAACACAUUAAGUACUCCGCCUGAGUAGUACGUACGCAAGUAUGAAACUUAAAGGAAUUGACGGGACUCCGCACAAGCGGUGGAUCAUGUUGUUUAAUUCGAAGAUACCCGAAAAACCUUACCAGGUCUUGACAUGUUUUUGCAAAAUGAUAGUAAUAUCGUGGAGGUUACCAGAAACACAGGUGGUGCAUGGUUGUCGUCAGCUCGUGUCGUGAGAUGUUAGGUUAAGUCCUAAAACGAGCGAAACCCUUAUCGUUAGUUGCCAGCACGUUAUGGUGGGGACUUUAACGAGACUGCCAAUGAUAAAUUGGAGGAAGGUGAGGAUCACGUCAAAUCAGCAUGCCCCUUAUGACCUGGGCUACAAACGUGAUACAAUGGCUGUUACAAAGGGUAGCUGAAACGCAAGUUCUUGGCCAAUCCCCAAAAACAGUCCCAGUCCGGAUUGAAGUCUGCAACUCGACUUCAUGAAGUUGGAAUCGCUAGUAAUCCGAUCACAUGCCGGACUU
RNAcentral lists this ribosomal RNA (1141 nucleotides) under 'Daucus carota' phytoplasma. Its description in RNAcentral is "bacterial SSU rRNA". It matches the Rfam family "Bacterial small subunit ribosomal RNA", at positions 213 to 1363 of the family's 1533-position model. The record is from RNAcentral. Lineage: Bacteria; Bacillati; Mycoplasmatota; Mollicutes; Acholeplasmatales; Acholeplasmataceae.